GGCCUUGACAUACUAAGAACUUUCCAGAGAUGGAUUGGUGCCUUCGGGAACUUAGAUACAGGUGCUGCAUGGCUGUCGUCAGCUCGUGUCGUGAGAUGUUGGGUUAAGUCCCGNAACGAGCGCAACCUUUUCCUAUUUGCCAGCGGGUCAUGCCGGGAACUUUAAGGAUACUGCCAGUGACAAACUGGAGGAAGGCGGGGACGACGUCAAGUCAUCAUGGCCCUUACGGCCAGGGCUACACACGUGCUACAAUGGUCGGUACAAAGGGUUGCUACCUCGCGAGAGGAUGCUAAUCUCAAAAAGCCGAUCGUAGUCCGGAUCGCAGUCUGCAACUCGACUGCGUGAAGUCGGAAUCGCUAGUAAUCGCGGAUCAGAAUGCCGCGGUGAAUACGUUCCCGGGCCUUGUACACACCGCCCGUCACACCAUGGGAGUUUGUUGCACCAGAAGUAGGUAGUCUAACCGCAAGGAGGACGCUUACCACGGUGUGGCCGAUGACUGGGGUGAAGUCGUAACAAGGUAAGCGUAGAUGA
This 531-nucleotide ribosomal RNA is filed under the name uncultured bacterium. RNAcentral's name for it is "bacterial SSU rRNA". It matches the Rfam family "Bacterial small subunit ribosomal RNA", at positions 977 to 1509 of the family's 1533-position model. The record is from RNAcentral.